RNAcentral lists this ribosomal RNA (351 nucleotides) under uncultured bacterium. RNAcentral describes it as "bacterial SSU rRNA". It matches the Rfam family "Bacterial small subunit ribosomal RNA", at positions 914 to 1263 of the family's 1533-position model. The record is from RNAcentral.
CGGGGGCCCGCACAAGCGGUGGAGCAUGUGGUUUAAUUCGACGCAACGCGCAGAACCUUACCAGCCCUUGACAUGUCCAGGACCGGUCGCAGAGAUGUGACCUUCUCUUCGGAGCCUGGAGCACAGGUGCUGCAUGGCUGUCGUCAGCUCGUGUCGUGAGAUGUUGGGUUAAGUCCCGCAACGAGCGCAACCCUCGCCCUUAGUUGCCAUCAUUCAGUUGGGCACUCUAAGGGGACUGCCGGUGAUAAGCCGAGAGGAAGGUGGGGAUGACGUCAAGUCCUCAUGGCCCUUACGGGCUGGGCUACACACGUGCUACAAUGGCGGUGACAAUGGGAUGCAAAGGCGCGAGCC